GCUGGGCCUGGGUGAGGAAGAGGCACCCGGUCAGGUCGGCGCCGCCGAGGCCGGCGCCCCGCAGGUCCGCGCCGAUCAGAUCGGCGCCCCGCA
This 93-nucleotide transfer RNA is filed under the name Microbispora amethystogenes. RNAcentral's name for it is "tRNA-Pro". Lineage: Bacteria; Bacillati; Actinomycetota; Actinomycetes; Streptosporangiales; Streptosporangiaceae. The record is from RNAcentral.